This 465-nucleotide ribosomal RNA is filed under the name uncultured bacterium. RNAcentral's name for it is "partial 16S ribosomal RNA". It matches the Rfam family "Bacterial small subunit ribosomal RNA", at positions 28 to 507 of the family's 1533-position model. The record is from RNAcentral.
GACGAACGCUGGCGGCGUGCUUAACACAUGCAAGUCGUACGGUAAGGCCCUUUCGGGGGUACACGAGUGGCGAACGGGUGAGUAACACGUGAGUAACCUGCCCACAACUUUGGGAUAACGCUAGGAAACUGGUGCUAAUACUGGAUAUGUGCUCCUGCUGCAUGGUGGGGGUUGGAAAGCUCCGGCGGUUGUGGAUGGACUCGCGGCCUAUCAGCUUGUUGGUGGGGUAGUGGCCUACCAAGGCGGCGACGGGUAGCCGGCCUGAGAGGGUGACCGGCCACAUUGGGACUGGGAUACGGCCCAGACUCCUACGGGAGGCAGCAGUGGGGAAUAUUGCACAAUGGGCGCAAGCCUGAUGCAGCAACGCCGCGUGCGGGAUGACGGCCUUCGGGUUGUAAACCGCUUUCAGCAGGGACGAAGCUUUUUGUGACGGCACCUGCAGAAGAAGCACCGGCUAACUACGUG